UUUCUAUUCUAAACUUAACUAUUUAUUGAAUUUUCUUAAUACUUAAUCCCUCGAUAUCUCAUAAACUCUCUAAUCUGUGCAUCAAUUUUUUUCAAAAAAAAUAUUUGAUUUUAUUCAAAUCUGUAACCUAAUCAGGUACCUAAACGCUAAAUACUAACUUAUUCGAGGAUUCAAAGACUUAAAUUUUUUUUAAUUACUCUCACCCC
RNAcentral lists this long non-coding RNA (206 nucleotides) under Elaeis guineensis (African oil palm). Its description in RNAcentral is "long non-coding RNA (EGUI_LNC031165)". The record is from RNAcentral. Lineage: Eukaryota; Viridiplantae; Streptophyta; Magnoliopsida; Arecales; Arecaceae.